GAACGCUAGCUACAGGCUUAACACAUGCAAGUCGAGGGGCAGCAUGGUCUUAGCUUGCUAAGGCCGAUGGCGACCGGCGCACGGGUGAGUAACGCGUAUCCAACCUGCCGUCCAGUAGGGGACAGCCCGUAGAAAUGCGGAUUAAUACCCUAUGUUCUCCGAGGAUGACAUCAGAUUCGGAGUAAAGAUUCAUCGCUGGACGAUGGGGAUGCGUCUGAUUAGGCAGCAGGCGGGGCAACGGCCCACCUGGCCGACGAUCAGUAGGGGUUCUGAGAGGAAGGUCCCCCACAUUGGAACUGAGACACGGUCCAAACUCCUACGGGAGGCAGCAGUGAGGAAUAUUGGUCAAUGGGCGCGAGCCUGAACCAGCCAAGUAGCGUGAGGGAUGACUGCCCUACGGGUUGUAAACCUCUUUUGUUCGGGAAUAAAGUGCGGCACGCGUGCCGUUUGUAUGUACCGUUCGAAUAAGGACCGGCUAAUUCCGUGCC
Molecule: ribosomal RNA, 488 nt
Filed under: uncultured bacterium
Lineage: Bacteria
Description: bacterial SSU rRNA
Rfam family: Bacterial small subunit ribosomal RNA
Source: RNAcentral